AAGAUUAUGAAUCUAAAUCUCAACUUUCUAUAAACCAAAAAGAACAUAAAUUAUUUGCACCCUCCAUUCAGAAUUUCAAAUAGAUAUAAUCAGGUCUAAUCGACCUAGCCUCCGAACCGAAACACUCGAGCUUCGAGACAAGAUGAGCCAACCCAAGCCGGAAACGGACCCUCCACGAACUCACACGCUUGAGGCUUUACAAAAGAAACAUGCGCACUAUGAACACCUGCGCCCCCACACGCCGCCGUUUCAUCAUUUAUAAAGAUACUUUCUUUUUAUCGGACGAUUUUCCAUUAAGCCCCUUAUCGGCGAGUAGGUCCAUUUCCUUUUUUUAUUUUAUAUGUCCAGGUCAAAUAUUUUUCCUUUUUUUCCAUGUUUU
This 379-nucleotide long non-coding RNA is filed under the name Brassica rapa (field mustard). RNAcentral's name for it is "long non-coding RNA (BRAP_LNC003270)". The record is from RNAcentral. Lineage: Eukaryota; Viridiplantae; Streptophyta; Magnoliopsida; Brassicales; Brassicaceae.